CCUGUCCUGUACUCCCAGGCUGUGUACUUGUUCACACGGCUCACUUUCCUGUGGGUGGGAAGCAGGACACCCUGCACGUAUCACACUUGGAGGGUGGAACCACGGGGUGGGAGCUGGAGUCUAGCGGAGUCUGUUCUCCAGCUGUCGUCGUUUCCAUCUCUCGUUCACUCACUCAACACCUUCAUUUGGCAUCUGCCUUCGGGGCAGAAGUCCCAAGAGCCGACAGUCUGAGGAGAUGGACAUUAAAUCAUCAGGCAAAUGAAAGCACUCAGGAGGCUGAGGCAGGAGGAUUGCUGUGAAUUGGAGGCCAGCCUGGGCUCCCCAGUGAAUUCAAGAACAGCCUAAACUGCUUAUUGAGACCCUGCCUCAAAAAACCAACAGAACAAAAUUAAGGAAGCAAAUUCUGCUGUAGGAACAACCCCCAAAUCGUGGUGGAUUAUGUGGUCAUUCUUCACUCACAUUACAAGUGUUGACUGCAGGCCAGCCUGAAGUCUUCUCUACAUGUCUUUGUCCUGGGAUCAUGGAGAACCCCUGGGACAGAAGCCAUGGUGACCACAGAAGAGCCAGCGACAGAACAGGCCAACAGCUUUGCAACUCAUGCUCAGAAUCAGCCCACCUCACUUCCACUCACAGCUCACCAGGGACCAGGCCUGCUGUUGGGGUCAGGACAGGGGGCUCCAUGUUGCAGGGACAGAGGAAAGACUCCAAGAAAAAAAGCUAAACAAGCUCUCCAGCCCCACUCGCCCUUGGUCAAUUUACAGUCACCAGUCCUCCACGCGCCCGGAGGACACAGUCCUGGCCCCACCUCCGUGCCGGACACAUCACCCAUCCCCAGGUGUGGGCUGUGAGGACAGUGCCUGGGUUACUUCCAGGGCACCUGAGGCCGUGUUUUGGAUUAAAAACUGGUGGCCAACUUAACACCAGCCAGAUUACAUCAGCACGGUGCUGAGCAUAGAUGCUCCACCUGAGGAAAGUUGCCAGCAUAAAUUGGUGGAGAAGAAGGGAGGUGUUGAGGGUUGAGGUGUUGUAGCAUUGUGGGUUCUCCUACAUGUUGCUGUUUGAGCCGUUGGUUUUCUUGGAGAAGCUCUGGUCCUCACAUCGAGCAUUGCUUCCUGGCUCCGGAGAGGAAGAUAUGUGCUGCUUGGUCUCCAGGAUAAACUUAUCACGCUGCUUCCUAGCACAUACCCGACUGUGCUUAUUGUGGGAGGAGCUCAGGGCCUCCGUGUCACUGAGGAUGGCUGUGGUGCCUUUCAGGACAGCCCUGGUCUCUGUUGUGAGUGUGAUGUUGCAGCUCCAGCAUAGAACCCUCAUCCCACCAGCACAGCUCCUUCACCCCACUGGCAUGGACUUUUUGGCUUCCACCGCUGACCUUUGUGCCUUCCCGUCACGGAUCUGUAAAGCAGACUGGCGUGAGUCCUUCUUCUGGGCUUUAGAUCUCCAGCUGGACUCAUGGGAGGCAUUGUCAUGAGCUCUGGAUUUUCGUCUGGGCUCAUGUGGGACAUUGCUGUGGGAGUCAGACCCUUGGCUGAAUAUUCUGUCUUUGGUAUUACAGAUAGAUUUCCUGCAGUUUCUUGUGCUAACUCUGGGUGACCGUGAUAAAAAUAGUAUUAUAAACUCCAUGUCCUGGUUCUAAUUGUUCUGUGCACCACCCUGACUAAAGCAGGCCAGUUCUGCUGAGCACAGCGAUGCUUCCCCAGGCCUGCAGCUGUCUGGUGGGCGGCUGGGGUGGGAUAAAAGGCCUGACACUCGUGCCUUUGUCAUAUCUGUCCCCUGUGCUGUCCUAGCCGUGGGGUUAGGUUCUGCUGGGCUUUGCACAUAGACUGUGGACCAUUGAAGAAAUGUGUCUGAGACCCCGACAUGGUGAUCUAGGCCCGUGGGAGCUGGACUGUGUCCUGCUUUCUCAGCAGCCCAAGCACUGGAUGUCCUUCCCUGUCCCAUGGCCGGAGCGUGUAUGUGGGAGAUGUUGCCAGUGGGAAGGGCAGCUCGGCAGACACUGAGAGAAUCAGACCUCCUGUUAGUCCACCACGCUCAAGGCCGGGAUGUGAGGACAGAGGCGCCAAACACACGAAAAUGCACCAAAUCUAGGACGAGAUGACCAUGACCGCCCAUGAUCCAAACCUGUUGUGUCUCUCAGAACAGAGCCUCUGGCCAUAGGAAUGACCGGACUUUAGUUCACCCCAGGAAUCAGCAAAACCCUGCCACUUUCUUCAGUCUACAAGAGCAGUUUGGUUGUGCUCUCAACUGACCACAGGCUCCCUUCUCCUUAAAGCCUAGAGUGGCUGCGGCCCUUCCCGGGGGAGAACCCCCUGCAGCCUCUGAGAUCUGAGCCAUGUUAGAACUUACGAAGCUGGGAACCAAGCAACCAGCCUGCCUCCCUGCCAAGCAAUAGUGAACCUACCGGUGUACGGCCUAGAGUCAAACAUCCCACUUCCCCUACCGGCCUUCUCCUGUCCCCCAUUAGCAAAUGGGAACCAGAAAUCUGAGCAUCUCUUGGGAGGUUGACCAUAGAAAAUAAGGGGGAUUUCCUUCUCCAUCUCUUUGAAGACAAAUGUUUUUAUUAACUGCUUUGCUCUAUUCUGAUUAAUGGUACUGAUCUAUUCAAUAUUCUGUUUUGAUAAGUUCUAUAAUGUUCUGUAUUUCAUUUUAUCUUGAUAUACGUGAUUGAAAGAACAACUAUUGUAAAGAUAACAAAAUAUACUAUGAUACUUAUUACUGU
Molecule: long non-coding RNA, 2716 nt
Organism: Cavia porcellus (domestic guinea pig)
Lineage: Eukaryota; Metazoa; Chordata; Mammalia; Rodentia; Caviidae
Exons: 3
Source: RefSeq, a predicted model, not a curated record